AUUGAACGCUGGCGGCAUGCCUUACACAUGCAAGUCGAACGUGAAAGCGGGGCAACCCGCAAGUAGAGUGGCGGACGGGUGAGUAAUACAUCGGAACGUGUCCAGUAAUGGGGGAUAACCUAGCGAAAGUUAGGCUAAUACCGCAUACGAUCUGCGGAUGAAAGCGGGGGAUGCGGCACUAAAGGCUUUUGGCGAAGGUGGCCAAAGGUGAGUCAAGAGCUUUUAGUGCNGCACCUCGCGUUAUUGGAGCGGCUGAUGUCUGAUUAGCUAGUUGGUGAGGUAAAGGCUUACCAAGGCGACGAUCAGUAGCUGGUCUGAGAGGACGGCCAGCCACACUGGGACUGAGACACGGCCCAGACUCCUAC
This 365-nucleotide ribosomal RNA is filed under the name uncultured bacterium. Its description in RNAcentral is "bacterial SSU rRNA". It matches the Rfam family "Bacterial small subunit ribosomal RNA", at positions 30 to 342 of the family's 1533-position model. The record is from RNAcentral.